UAGUGAAUGAAAUAACUUUAUUGUCUUCCUGGCUCAUUUCUUAAACUCUCUCUUAUCAAAUAUUAUUUCGGAAAUACCUAGCUUCUCCUUUUCAUGACUUCUGCAGCUAUAACAUUCCUUCUGUGAUAAUAUCAGAGGAAGGAGCAAGAUUGCCUGUUGCCUGGUUUUAUACUUUUUAGCUAAAAUCACAGGAGACACUUUGAGUUUUACCUAUUUGGAUUCUCUCCUCAAAUACUGGACAUGAUUUGUGUUUAGAGAAGCACCGUCUUUCAAAAAAGGAGAGAUUUGAAAGUUUUGCUACUUUGGUUUUUCUACAUGGAGUCAGAAUAUUCAUCCGUUGCUCUGUGUUUAGUUUUCUUUCGACGGUAGCUUUGAGUGUUUACAUUUUUUUUCUUCCCAUUUCUUGGCAUUUUGUGAACACAGCUUCUAGUUCAAGACUUUCUUCGGUUGCUAGUAAAGUUGAGACUAAAAUACGUUGGUAUUUUCUGAACGGACAGCCAAAUAUUCGUCAACCGUACAGUUCACCCUACGAAGAACAAAGUCACAGCUAUGCUGCAGAGAGUAUUGAUCUUGAAGAUGGCAACCUCAACCAAUGAGGCUCUUUGCUUCAAAGUCUCUGGCUCAUCAAAUGAAUAAUACAUUAAUCAAUGAUCCUGCCUUAUCACGUCCACUUCAUAAGCCUCACGUACUGAUUAUUCCUGUCCUCAUCCACCUUCCCUGCUCACACUGGAUUCCAGUGUAUCUGAAUUCCAAAACCUAGUCCUAGUUCACAUACCCAAGACGUUCCAUAAUAAAAUCAGUAACCCUUGGCUGCACCUACAUGCAUAAUAAAUAUCAUCCCCAGCACAGCCAAUCAGUAGCCCCUUAUAAAUAACAAGGACUGGCUUAGUAGUCAAGGAAAAGAAGAUAUUUCUAUCAUUGCAUCUCUUUCUUGACCUUUUAUAGAUCUCUUCAGCUAUAAAAUAUGACUGAAUGGAUGCAUCCCUAACCAAUCCUUUAGCUGCUAUUUUGUACAGAUCCCUGCAUUGCUGCAGGAGGCCAAAUUCAUCUACCUGUGGUUGUGUCAGUUAACUCCCUCAGGAGACUAUUCAGGGAUUUUAGGAAAAGAAAUAUGGCGGACACAGACAUCAGAGAAACGACCAACAUUUACUUUAAGCUACAAUGGCUCUUAUUUUGCAAGAGGUAGUUCAUGAAAGAUCCGUGUAACCUUUUGGUAUUUCUAGAAAUUAUUCUUUGCUGAUGCAACACUCUCAGUCAGAGGCUAGAGAAGUUUUCUUCCAUACUACCUUCCUCCGUGCACAUCCACCACCACCUCACCAAAAUAAUUUCUAUCAGGCACAUAAAAUAUUUUCUUAGCUUCAGUGAAUUAGAGCUCAUUAUAUUUUAAGAUGAUUUCAAUAAUUUGUAAGGUCCCUUGAGUUAAUUGGCCAUGGCCAGCUAUGUUAUAGAAAUGGGGGUG
Molecule: long non-coding RNA, 1459 nt
Filed under: Equus caballus (horse)
Lineage: Eukaryota; Metazoa; Chordata; Mammalia; Perissodactyla; Equidae
Description: lncRNA (ENSECAG00000052664.1)
Source: RNAcentral